CUACGGGUUGCUGCAGUGGGGAAUAUUGCACAAUGGAGGAAACUCUGAUGCAGCAACGCCGCGUGGAGGAUGACACUUUUCGGAGCGUAAACUCCUUUUAUAUAGGAAGAAGAUGACGGUACUAUAUGAAUAAGCGCCGGCUAACUCCGUGCCAGCAGCCGCGGUAAUACGGAGGGCGCAAGCGUUACUCGGAAUCACUGGGCGUAAAGAGCGUAUAGGCGGAUUAAAAAGUCAGAAGUGAAAUCCUAUAGCUUAACUAUAGAACUGCUUCUGAAACUCUUAAUCUAGAAUAUGGGAGAGGUAGAUGGAAUUUCUGGUGUAGGGGUAAAAUCCGUAGAGAUCAGAAGGAAUACCGAUUGCGAAGGCGAUCUACUAGAACAUUAUUGACGCUGAGACGCAAAAGCGUGGGGAGCAAACAGGAUUAGAUACCCUUGUAGUC
Molecule: ribosomal RNA, 439 nt
Filed under: uncultured bacterium
Lineage: Bacteria
Description: partial 16S ribosomal RNA
Rfam family: Bacterial small subunit ribosomal RNA
Source: RNAcentral